CCUACGGGUGGCAGCAGUGGGGAAUAUUGGACAAUGGGCGAAAGCCUGAUCCAGCCAUGCCGCGUGUGUGAAGAAGGCCUUCGGGUUGUAAAGCACUUUCAGUGGGGAAGAAAGCCUUGGGGCUAAUACCCUCGAGGAAGGACAUCACCCACGGAAGAAGCACCGGCUAACUCCGUGCCAGCAGCCGCGGUAAUACGGAGGGUGCGAGCGUUAAUCGGAAUUACUGGGCGUAAAGCGCGCGUAGGCGGUCUGAUAAGCCGGUUGUGAAAGCCCCGGGCUCAACCUGGGAACGGCAUCCGGAACUGUCAGGCUAGAGUGCAGGAGAGGAAGGUAGAAUUCCCGGUGUAGCGGUGAAAUGCGUAGAGAUCGGGAGGAAUACCAGUGGCGAAGGCGGCCUUCUGGACUGACACUGACGCUGAGGUGCGAAAGCGUGGGUAGCAAACAGGAUUAGAUACCCGAGUAGUC
This 465-nucleotide ribosomal RNA is filed under the name Vreelandella stevensii. Its description in RNAcentral is "partial 16S ribosomal RNA". It matches the Rfam family "Bacterial small subunit ribosomal RNA", at positions 338 to 795 of the family's 1533-position model. Lineage: Bacteria; Pseudomonadati; Pseudomonadota; Gammaproteobacteria; Oceanospirillales; Halomonadaceae. The record is from RNAcentral.